This 420-nucleotide ribosomal RNA is filed under the name uncultured bacterium. RNAcentral's name for it is "bacterial SSU rRNA". It matches the Rfam family "Bacterial small subunit ribosomal RNA", at positions 28 to 489 of the family's 1533-position model. The record is from RNAcentral.
GACGAACGCUGGCGGCAGGCUUAACACAUGCAAGUCGAACGGCUGUAGCAAUACAGCAGUGGCAGACGGGUGAGUAACACGUGGGAACCUUCCUAGGGGUACGGAACAACUCAGGGAAACUUGAGCUAAUAACCGUAUACGUCCGUAAGGAGAAAGAUUCAUCGCCCCUAGACGGGCCCGCGUCGGAUUAGGUAGUUGGUGGGGUAACGGGCCUACCAAGCCUGCGAUCCGUAGCUGAUCUGAGAGGAUGAUCAGCCACACUGGGACUGAGACACGGCCCAGACUCCUACGGGAGGCAGCAGUGGGGAAUAUUGGACAAUGGGCGGCAAGCCUGAUCCAGCAAUGCCGCGUGAGUGAAGAAGGCCUUAGGGUUGUAAAGCUCUUUCGGCGGGGACGAUGAUGACGGUACCCGCAGAAGAA